This 1635-nucleotide long non-coding RNA is filed under the name Sparus aurata (gilthead seabream). RNAcentral's name for it is "lncRNA (ENSSAUG00010004062.1)". Lineage: Eukaryota; Metazoa; Chordata; Actinopteri; Spariformes; Sparidae. The record is from RNAcentral.
CUCCUACAAGAAGGGAAGACAUUGUAGGCUGCUUACAUUGAAUGAAACAUAGGACUAGAUGUAACACACAACACACCUGUUGUAACCUUUCUGUAAGUCUGUAGUCUGGACACAUGAAAUAAGCACCCCUAAGAAGAUCAACCUAUUUCUACAGUUGAUUCCGACAUGUAUGCUCCAGUUUAAUUUUCAUAACUUCCCACUCUGAAAUGUUGAAGCAACUAUGACGCUCGGCUCAAGUUCCGCUGUUUUUAUAGUUUGUUUGUGUUUUGUUUCUAAAGCAACCAAUAUUAUAAAUACUGACUUAUUUAGUCUGUAAGGCAUCGUUGAGGGCUUCUAAUACGCUAACGUCUUUCUGUUUAGUUGAGCUACUUCGGUUUGUUGCAGGCGAGUGUCUUUGCUUUCGUCUUUUCUGAUAAAACACUGAAUCUUUCUCCAAGAUGAGACACAAGUGUGACUGAGUGGGAAGCUUUUUUGCUUUAAGCAAUGGCAGGUAGCUUAACUAUCCCGUUAACUUUACCGCAGUGGGACGGGGGCUCACGCAAAAUUCGCUUUAUCCAUUUGGUGGAUCAGACAUCGUUCAGGCUGACAGACUGUCCCAACAAGAGUUCAGUGGUUCCUCUCUUUUUAGGAGCUGAUCUCUUCUCCAAUACCGACAUCCGUACAGAGAACCAUCCCAGACAUCACGCAAAGUUUGCCAAGAAAGGACUGGCAACAAAAAUACAUUUUUCCUCAGAAUUUAGGUUCCAUGGGUUGAAGGUACCUACUGUCAGUAACAGCCUCUGGUUCUACAGUGUUCAAGGACUUUUUCGAAUAGCCUUUGAAAUGUACAGUAAGCAAGAGCAGCUUGCUGUGCUUGAGAACUUCCAGGAUGUUUGGAAAUCACAGAUAAAUGGCAGCCCUCUGAAGACGAGUUACAGCCUCAGUGUGCAGCUUGACUUUGCUAUACCCAGCAGCUUGCAUGACACAGAAGCAAGCAACGAAACCCCAUCACAACCUCUGCAUUGCCAGGCUGGCAGAGAAUCGGUGGAUGUAUAUGGCAGUGACAGAUCAGCAGAUCAUGACUAUUGUUCUUUUUCUAAGCAGAGCUUGCAUAGUGAGAACCACCAACUGGUGGUAUCCAAAGUAAGACAGAAAUUGCAAAGCUUGGAUGACAAACUCUCUUCUGUGACUCUCAGCUCCUCAGGACUUGAGACUGUAUUGCUACUUUUGGAGAACGUUGAUCGGUGCAUAAAUGGGAAUCUAGAAGAAAAGGAUGUGACAGAAGCUGUACUAGCCCUGCUAAAGGCCAAAGACUGGGGCUGUGUGUAUUCCAGUAACCUGCUUAGCUGUGUAGGACGUUGGCUCGGCCAGCAGUUUCAUGCAGCCAACAGCAGCAUCAGCCGGAGGGUGGAGGGCUUCAAAGUUCAUCAUAUUGAGAGAAUUAGUGACUUGCCACCUGCUGAGGAACUAGCCACAGAGCUGUUCCCAGAAGCAAUGCAAACACUGCUGCUUCAUUGGAUGGGUUUAAGUGAAGAGUCCACCCUGGAGAAGAGACACAGCGAGUUCCCAAUCCUGCUCCUUAUCCUUGAGUUUGCCAACCACAACCUUAUCACUGGUGUGGCUCAUGUACUAUACUCAAGUCUUAUAUGUAAAUAA